AUUGAACGCUGGCGGCAGGCUUAACACAUGCAAGUCGAGCGGGGGAAGGUAGCUUGCUACCGGACCUAGCGGCGGACGGGUGAGUAAUGCUUAGGAAUCUGCCUAUUAGUGGGGGACAACAUCUCGAAAGGGAUGCUAAUACCGCAUACGUCCUACGGGAGAAAGCAGGGGAUCUUCGGACCUUGCGCUAAUAGAUGAGCCUAAGUCGGAUUAGCUAGUUGGUGGGGUAAAGGCCUACCAAGGCGACGAUCUGUAGCGGGUCUGAGAGGAUGAACCGCCACAUUGGGACUGAGACACGGCCCAGACUCCUACGGGAGGCAGCAGUGGGGAAUAUUGGACAAUGGGGGGAACCCUGAUCCAGCCAUGCCGCGUGUGUGAAGAAGGCCUUAUGGUUGUAAAGCACUUUAAGCGAGGAGGAGGCUACUCUAGUUAAUACCUAGGGAUAGUGGACGUUACUCGCAGAAUAAGCACCGGCUAACUCUGUGCCAGCAGCCGCGGUAA
This 501-nucleotide ribosomal RNA is filed under the name uncultured bacterium. RNAcentral describes it as "partial 16S ribosomal RNA". It matches the Rfam family "Bacterial small subunit ribosomal RNA", at positions 30 to 523 of the family's 1533-position model. The record is from RNAcentral.